This is a long non-coding RNA of Xiphophorus hellerii (green swordtail), 587 nucleotides long. RefSeq lists it as uncharacterized. NCBI's taxonomy places the organism in Eukaryota, Metazoa, Chordata, Actinopteri, Cyprinodontiformes, Poeciliidae. The record is from RefSeq and is a predicted model, not a curated record. The transcript has 3 exons.
GACAUGUAGUGAAGGGAAACUAGUGAUGUGUCGGUCGCGAACGAUCCGGCUCUAAGAGCCGGCUCUUUGAAGUGAACGAUUGGAACCGGCUCCACAAUGGGAGCCGUUUUAGGAUCCUAUUUUGGAGCCGGGUUUUUUUCUACAGUAUAUCGCUGUCUCUCUGCCUCCCUGUCGUUGUGCUUGUGCUCUGCAAGUGCCAGAGCCGAUAGUUUUUCCCCACAUCGUUUUUUUUUUGUCCUGCGGUGCCUGGCUGUCUCCCCCCCCUUUUCCUCCCCCUUCUCCCACUCCUUCCGCGUUUUGCUCUCCUGCCAGUGCCAGAGCGGAGAGUUUUUUUCCCUCGGUCGGUCCACUGCCCUCAUGUCAAGCGUGUGCUCCACACAUCUGACCAAUCACACAUAACACUGAAUAUUAUUUGAUAUUUGUAUUGUGGCACCUUUUCUGUUAUGAAGCUGCUUUGAUACUUUUUCGUAUUGUGGUGGGUGUUUGUAUUAAUAUUUAACUGUUUGUUAUUUUAAGUUAUUUUUGUGGAAGUGGUGCUAUUUUGUGAUAAUUUAAUUGGUUAUAAUAAAAGGUUUAUUUAUAAAGCA